GACGAACGCUGGCGGCGUGCCUAAUACAUGCAAGUAGAACGCUGAAGAGAGGAGCUUGCUCUUCUUGGAAGAGUUGCGAACGGGUGAGUAACGCGUAGGUAACCUGCCUUGUAGCGGGGGAUAACUAUUGGAAACGAUAGCUAAUACCGCAUAACAAUGGGUGACCCAUGUCAUUCAUUUGAAAGGGGCAACUGCUCCACUACAAGAUGGACCUGCGUUGUAUUAGCUAGUAGGUGAGGUAACGGCUCACCUAGGCGACGAUACAUAGCCGACCUGAGAGGGUGAUCGGCCACACUGGGACUGAGACACGGCCCAGACUCCUACGGGAGGCAGCAGUAGGGAAUCUUCGGCAAUGGGGGCAACCCUGACCGAGCAACGCCGCGUGAGUGAAGAAGGUUUUCGGAUCGUAAAGCUCUGUUGUAAGUCAAGAACGAGUGUGAGGGUGGAAAGUUCACACUGUGACGGUAGCUUACCAGAAAGGGACGGCUAACUACGUGCCAGCAGCCGCGGUAAUACGUAGGUCCCGAGCGUUGUCCGGAUUUAUUGGGCGUAAAGCGAGCGCAGGCGGUUUGAUAAGUCUGAAGUUAAAGGCUGUGGCUCAACCAUAGUUCGCUUUGGAAACUGUCAAACUUGAGUGCAGAAGGGGAGAGUGGAAUUCCAUGUGUAGCGGUGAAAUGCGUAGAUAUAUGGAGGAACACCGGUGGCGAAAGCGGCUCUCUGGUCUGUAACUGACGCUGAGGCUCGAAAGCGUGGGGAGCGAACAGG
This 765-nucleotide ribosomal RNA is filed under the name uncultured Streptococcus sp. RNAcentral describes it as "bacterial SSU rRNA". It matches the Rfam family "Bacterial small subunit ribosomal RNA", at positions 28 to 776 of the family's 1533-position model. The record is from RNAcentral. Lineage: Bacteria; Bacillati; Bacillota; Bacilli; Lactobacillales; Streptococcaceae.